UUUGAUCAUGGCUCAGAUUGAACGCUGGCGGCAGGCCUAACACAUGCAAGUCGAACGGUAACAGGAAGCAGCUUGCUGCUUUGCUGACGAGUGGCGGACGGGUGAGUAAUGUCUGGGAAACUGCCUGAUGGAGGGGGAUAACUACUGGAAACGGUGGCUAAUACCGCAUAACGUCGCAAGACCAAAGAGGGGGACCUUCGGGCCUCUUGCCAUCAGAUGUGCCCAGAUGGGAUUAGCUUGUUGGUGAGGUAACGGCUCACCAAGGCGACGAUCCCUAGCUGGUCUGAGAGGAUGACCAGCCACACUGGAACUGAGACACGGUCCAGACUCCUACGGGAGGCAGCAGUGGGGAAUAUUGCACAAUGGGCGCAAGCCUGAUGCAGCCAUGCCGCGUGUAUGAAGAAGGCCUUCGGGUUGUAAAGUACUUUCAGCGGGGAGGAAGGUGUUGUGGUUAAUAACCGCAGCAAUUGACGUUACCCGCAGAAGAAGCACCGGCUAACUCCGUGCCAGCAGCCGCGGUAAUACGGAGGGUGCAAGCGUUAAUCGGAAUUACUGGGCGUAAAGCGCACGCAGGCGGUCUGUCAAGUCGGAUGUGAAAUCCCCGGGCUCAACCUGGGAACUGCAUUCGAAACUGGCAGGCUUGAGUCUUGUAGAGGGGGGUAGAAUUCCAGGUGUAGCGGUGAAAUGCGUAGAGAUCUGGAGGAAUACCGGUGGCGAAGGCGGCCCCCUGGACAAAGACUGACGCUCAGGUGCGAAAGCGUGGGGAGCAAACAGGAUUAGAUACCCUGGUAGUCCACGCCGUAAACGAUGUCUACUUGGAGGUUGUGCCCUUGAGGCGUGGCUUCCGGAGCUAACGCGUUAAGUAGACCGCCUGGGGAGUACGGCCGCAAGGUUAAAACUCAAAUGAAUUGACGGGGGCCCGCACAAGCGGUGGAGCAUGUGGUUUAAUUCGAUGCAACGCGAAGAACCUUACCUGGUCUUGACAUCCACAGAAGAAUCCAGAGAUGGAUUUGUGCCUUCGGGAACUGUGAGACAGGUGCUGCAUGGCUGUCGUCAGCUCGUGUUGUGAAAUGUUGGGUUAAGUCCCGCAACGAGCGCAACCCUUAUCCUUUGUUGCCAGCGGUUAGGCCGGGAACUCAAAGGAGACUGCCAGUGAUAAACUGGAGGAAGGUGGGGAUGACGUCAAGUCAUCAUGGCCCUUACGACCAGGGCUACACACGUGCUACAAUGGCGCAUACAAAGAGAAGCGACCUCGCGAGAGCAAGCGGACCUCAUAAAGUGCGUCGUAGUCCGGAUUGGAGUCUGCAACUCGACUCCAUGAAGUCGGAAUCGCUAGUAAUCGUGGAUCAGAAUGCCACGGUGAAUACGUUCCCGGGCCUUGUACACACCGCCCGUCACACCAUGGGAGUGGGUUGCAAAAGAAGUAGGUAGCUUAACCUUCGGGAGGGCGCUUACCACUUUGUGAUUCAUGACUGGGGUGAAGUCGUAACAAGGUAACCGUAGGGGAACCUGCGGUUGGAUCACCUCCUUACCUUAAAGAA
RNAcentral lists this ribosomal RNA (1541 nucleotides) under Salmonella enterica subsp. enterica serovar Enteritidis. RNAcentral's name for it is "bacterial SSU rRNA". It matches the Rfam family "Bacterial small subunit ribosomal RNA". Lineage: Bacteria; Pseudomonadati; Pseudomonadota; Gammaproteobacteria; Enterobacterales; Enterobacteriaceae. The record is from RNAcentral.